CUACGUAGCUCAGAGUUUGAUCCUGGCUCAGGAUGAACGCUGGCGGCGUGCUUAACACAUGCAAGUCGAACGGGGGUUACUUCGUUGAGAUCUUCGGAUCAAAGCGAAAUAACUCGAGUGGCGGACGGGUGAGUAACACGUGAGUAACCUGCCUUUUGCUGGGGAAUAACUGUGGGAAACCAUGGCUAAUACCGCAUGUUGUGCAUGACAGGCAUCUGUUAUGUAUGAAAGGAGAAAUCCGGCAGAAGAUGGGCUCGCGUCCGAUUAGGUAGUUGGUGGGGUAACGGCCUACCAAGCCCGCGAUCGGUAGCCGGACUGAGAGGUCGAACGGCCACAUUGGGACUGAGACACGGCCCAG
RNAcentral lists this ribosomal RNA (358 nucleotides) under uncultured bacterium. RNAcentral describes it as "bacterial SSU rRNA". It matches the Rfam family "Bacterial small subunit ribosomal RNA", at positions 1 to 334 of the family's 1533-position model. The record is from RNAcentral.